RNAcentral lists this signal recognition particle RNA (90 nucleotides) under Nocardioidaceae bacterium. RNAcentral's name for it is "Bacterial small signal recognition particle RNA". It matches the Rfam family "Bacterial small signal recognition particle RNA". From Rfam's summary of the family: The signal recognition particle (SRP) is a universally conserved ribonucleoprotein involved in the co-translational targeting of proteins to membranes. Archaeal SRP consists of a 7S RNA and homologues of the eukaryotic SRP19 and SRP54 proteins. In most bacteria, the SRP consists of a 4.5S RNA and the Ffh protein (a homologue of the eukaryotic SRP54 protein). Lineage: Bacteria; Bacillati; Actinomycetota; Actinomycetes; Propionibacteriales; Nocardioidaceae. The record is from Rfam by way of RNAcentral.
CAACCCCCAUGCGGCGGUAUCUCGCUGAAUCCCCCAGGGCCGGAAGGCAGCAAGGGCAGGUGAGCUCUAUCGGGUGCGUGGGGGCCUUCU